Molecule: ribosomal RNA, 1402 nt
Filed under: uncultured bacterium
Lineage: Bacteria
Description: 16S ribosomal RNA
Rfam family: Bacterial small subunit ribosomal RNA
Source: RNAcentral
AGAGUUUGAUUCUGGCUCAGGAUGAACGCUGGCGGCAUGCCUAAUACAUGCAAGUCGAACGAGAGGAAGGAAAGCUUGCUUUUCUGAAUCUAGUGGCGAACGGGUGAGUAACACGUAGGUAACCUGCCCAUGUGUCCGGGAUAACUUCUGGAAACGGAUGCUAAAACCGGAUAGGUAGCAGACAAGCAUUUGACUGCUAUUAAAGUGGCUUUGGCCAUGAACAUGGAUGGACCUGCGGUGCAUUAGCUGGUUGGUGAGGUAACGGCCCACCAAGGCGACGAUGCAUAGCCGGCCUGAGAGGGCGGACGGCCACAUUGGGACUGAGACACGGCCCAAACUCCUACGGGAGGCAGCAGUAGGGAAUUUUCGUCAAUGGGGGGAACCCUGAACGAGCAAUGCCGCGUGAGUGAGGAAGGUCUUCGGAUCGUAAAGCUCUGUUGUAAGAGAAAAACGGCACUCAUAGGGAAUGAUGAGUGAGUGGUGGUAUCUUACCAGAAAGUCACGGCUAACUACGUGCCAGCAGCCGCGGUAAUACGUAGGUGGCGAGCGUUAUCCGGAAUGAUUGGGCGUAAAGGGUGCGUAGGUGGCAGAUCAAGUCUGGAGUAAAAGGUAUGGGCUCAACCCGUACUGGCUCUGGAAACUGAUCAGCUAGAGAACAGAAGAGGACGGCGGAACUCCAUGUGUAGCAGUAAAAUGCGUAGAUAUAUGGAAGAACACCGGUGGCGAAGGCGGCCGUCUGGUCUGGAUUCUGACACUGAAGCACGAAAGCGUGGGGAGCAAAUAGGAUUAGAUACCCUAGUAGUCCACGCCGUAAACGAUGAGAACUAGGUGUUGGGGGAAUAACUCAGUGCCGCAGUUAACGCAGUAAGUUCUCCGCCUGGGGAGUAUGCACGCAAGUGUGAAACUCAAAGGAAUUGACGGGGGCCCGCACAAGCGGUGGAGUAUGUGGUUUAAUUCGAAGCAACGCGAAGAACCUUACCUGCUCUUGACAUCCCGGUGACCGGCAUGUAAUGAUGCCUUUUCUUCGGAACACCGGUGACAGGUGGUGCAUGGUUGUCGUCAGCUCGUGUCGUGAGAUGUUGGGUUAAGUCCCGCAACGAGCGCAACCCUUGUGAUAUGUUACUAACAUUGAGUUGAGGACUCAUAUCAGACUGCCGGUGAUAAACCGGAGGAAGGUGGGGAUGACGUCAAAUCAUCAUGCCCCUUAUGGCCUGGGCUACACACGUACUACAAUGGCGUCUACAAAGAGUGGCAAGCCUGUGAAGGCAAGCGAAUCUCAUAAAGGACGUCUCAGUUCGGAUUGAAGUCUGCAACCCGACUUCAUGAAGCUGGAAUCGCUAGUAAUCGCGAAUCAGCAUGUCGCGGUGAAUACAUUCUCGGGCCUUGCACUCACCGCCCGUCA